Molecule: ribosomal RNA, 116 nt
Filed under: uncultured eukaryote
Lineage: Eukaryota
Description: partial small subunit ribosomal RNA
Rfam family: Bacterial small subunit ribosomal RNA
Source: RNAcentral
UCGAGUGCUCCAGAAGUGGCUGCGCUAACCCGCAAGGAGGCAGGUCCCCAAGGAGUGCUUGGUAACCGGGGUGAAGUCGUAACAAGGUAGCCGUAGGUGAACCUGCAGAAGGAUCA